This 314-nucleotide unclassified non-coding RNA is filed under the name plant metagenome. Its description in RNAcentral is "partial contains 5.8S ribosomal RNA, internal transcribed spacer 2, and large subunit ribosomal RNA". The stretch from base 1 to 105 matches the Rfam family "5.8S ribosomal RNA", at positions 50 to 154 of the family's 154-position model. The record is from RNAcentral.
GAAACGCGAUAGUUAAUGUGAAUUGCAGAAUUCAGUGAAUCAUCGAGUCUUUGAACGCACAUUGCGCCCAUAGGUAUUCCUUUGGGCAUGUCUGUUUGAGCGUCAUUACAACCCUCAGCUAACCGCUGGUUGUGAACCUGAACGGGUGACACCGCGCCGGUUUUAAAGUUGUAAGCUCUGCUGGCCGCUCUGCCCAACCAGAACAUAGUAAGCACUACUUGUCCGGGUGAAGCUGAACGUUACGGCCUGAACAAAACCUACCCACUCUCAAGGUUUGACCUCAGAUCAGACAAGGAUACCCGCUGAACUUAAGC